UCCCCACAGAAGCCACCCCCUCCCAAGCCACCGCCAUCCCUUGCCUGAGCUCACUACAGUGGCCGCCCAAGUCUCCAGCCUACAACUGACUCGUGAUCCACCCAACACCCAGGGUAGAGCGCUGGCCCCUCUGCCUGGCAUCCUUUGCGGCGUCCACCCUCCUUAGAGGAGACUACACGUGAGCCUUCCUAAAAAGCUCGGCCCAGCAAGGCCUCUGCUUGCUGUCAGCGAGGCCACUCUGCUGCCCCUGGGCUCCACAGUCCAGCUACACGGAGCUUCUUCAGGUACUCACUUGAUUUGGGGCUUUCACGGCACAAUUCUGCAACCUCACACCCACCCCCAUCCCUCCUUUAGCUCCCAACUUCUUCACUGAGGUUUGGGCAUCCAGUCGACUCUUUCAGUUCAUGUGCAUCCACAGCGCCCUCUACUGCCGCUUCUGAAGCACAGCACGCGGGGCCCCCCACACUUCAAACUGCAAAAGAGGCCCAGGUUGGGGGGUGUUAUUUCCUGGACCACGCUGUACCAGUAUAGCAAAAUUAAUCGGCAAAGUUUGUAUAUAUACGUCUGGUUUAUGAUGCUGGAGAUCAAACCUAGGGCCGCAUGCAUCCUAAUCAUGCAUUCAACCACUGACCUAUACCCUCAUCUCCCAGUAUAUCUUUUUUUUUUUUUCCUUUGGUGGGGGGGUACUAGGGAUUGAACUCUGGGGCACUCAGCCACUGAGUCAAUCCCCAGCCAUAUUUUGUGUUUAAUUAUUUAAAGACAGGGUUUCACUGAGAUGCUUAGCGCCUCGCAGUUGCUGAGGCUGGCUUUGAACUUGCAAUCCUCCUGUCUCAGCCUCCUGAGCCACUGGGAUUACAGGCUUUCGCCACUAAGCACGGCUCCCAGCUUAUCUUUUUCUAAAGCUAGAUGCAGUGGCCCUUGCCUGUGAUCCCAGCAACUUGGGAGGCUGGUAAAGGAUGAUUGCAAGUUCAAUGCCAACCUGGGCAAUUUAGCAAGACCCUGUCUCAAAAAAAGGGCUGGGUAAAGACCCCUGGACUCAAUUCGCACUACAAAAAAAUCGUUUUGUUUUGUUGUUUUAAAGGAAAAUGAAUCUAUCAUGUAAAGACUGGGAGAAGGAAAU
Molecule: long non-coding RNA, 1120 nt
Filed under: Marmota monax (woodchuck)
Lineage: Eukaryota; Metazoa; Chordata; Mammalia; Rodentia; Sciuridae
Source: RNAcentral